This 497-nucleotide ribosomal RNA is filed under the name uncultured bacterium. RNAcentral's name for it is "partial 16S ribosomal RNA". It matches the Rfam family "Bacterial small subunit ribosomal RNA", at positions 28 to 507 of the family's 1533-position model. The record is from RNAcentral.
GAUGAACGCUGGCGGCGUGCCUAAUACAUGCAAGUCGAGCGAACAGACGGGGAGCUUGCUCCUCUGACGUUAGCGGCGGACGGGUGAGUAACACGUGGAUAACCUACCUAUAAGACUGGGAUAACUUCGGGCAACCGGAGCUAAUACCGGAUAAUAUAUUGAACCGCAUGGUUCAAUAGUGAAAGACGGUUUUGCUGUCACUUAUAGAUGGAUCCGCGCCGCAUUAGCUAGUUGGUAAGGUAACGGCUUACCAAGGCCACGAUGCGUAGCCGACCUGAGAGGGGGACCAGCCACACUGGAACUGAGACACGGUCCAGACUCCUACGGGAGGCAGCAGUAGGGAAUCUUCCGCAAUGGGGGAAAGCUUGACGGAGCAACGCCGCGUGAGUGAUGAAGGUCUUCGGAUCGUAAAACUCUGUUAUUAGGGAAGAACAAAUGUGUAAGAAACUAUGCACGUGAUGACGGUACCUGAUCAGAAAGCCACGGCUAACUACGUG